CGGAAAUAAUUUUUUUAUUGCAAAGAAGAGAGCAAGAAGUCAAACUACACCAAUCUCAGAUAAGAUCAUGAAAAAUAAAUAAAACGCACACGCCCCAUCCAAAGGGAAAUCAAUGAUAAACUAUAUGCACAAUAAUAGCUAGGAGUAUGCAAGAUUGGGAAAUUGUGGAAGGUGGACUAGUUGAUCAGAAAGUCAGUAUGUCAUGAAGGUUGAAACAUAUGAAGCUG
RNAcentral lists this unclassified non-coding RNA (227 nucleotides) under Hevea brasiliensis (rubber tree). The record is from RNAcentral. Lineage: Eukaryota; Viridiplantae; Streptophyta; Magnoliopsida; Malpighiales; Euphorbiaceae.